This 1021-nucleotide long non-coding RNA is filed under the name Calidris pugnax (ruff). RNAcentral describes it as "lncRNA (ENSCPUG00000009799.1)". Lineage: Eukaryota; Metazoa; Chordata; Aves; Charadriiformes; Scolopacidae. The record is from RNAcentral.
UAAGCUGAAAGGGACCCUUAAGAUCACAGAGUCCAACCAUCAACCUUAUACUGCCAAAGCCAUCACCAAACCCUGUCCCUCAGCACCAUGUCUAUCCAUCUUUUAAACACCUCCAGGGAUGGUGAUUCAAUUACUUUGCUGGGCAGCCUGUUCCAGUGUUUGACAACAAAUAAUUUAUUUACUGCAACUUUCAUGUCUAAUAACUAUAAACACUUUCCUUGGUAAAAUGAAAAUGUGCUUUCACAAAUAUCAGAGGAAAUUAGCUGUGCAUUUGUCUAAAAUUGACUAUUUUACUUGAAGAUACAAAGUAGAUCUUAACUGAGCAUUUUGCCUUUCAGCACCAAGCUCCAGCCUUAGGACACCUGGACUCUAGCAGCUGGUUUCUUUUGUAACUGCCUCCAGCCACACCUUUUGAAAGCACGCUCUUUUUUCUGCCUGCUACAGAAAAACCACAGCACAUUUCUGCAAGAAAUCAAAGGUCUCAAGGAGAGGACUGGCAAACAGCUGCCCUAUCAAGCCAGAGGCCCACACGAGCAAAGCAGAAGGAGGGAGGAGAUGAAGGACAGAGCAUCAGAGGGCAUCAGGAGCAGGAAGUGAAAGCCCUGAAGACAUGGUGGCCGUGAGCCCUUGCUUCCGUUCUCUCCCAUUCCACCUCCACUGCAAAACUGAGAAAUCUGGAAUCAGCUCAGCUCUGUGGCUGUACCUGGAAGUUCAAGUUAGUCUCCAGAAGACGAAACAGAAGAAGAGAAAGAGUGCAAAGCUUCAACAGAUAUUACUGUCCUGCAGUUGUAAGUUAGGGCUGCCCUUUUCAAGGGCAGGAAAAGUACUGCUUCUUGUGCAAGAGCCAGCAUCCCAGGAAGAGCUCCGUCUGAGCCAAAUCAUCACUUGGGUUUGUUACUUACCCUGUGCAUGGUAACCUCUGGCUUAAAACCAAGUUUGCGGCACUUCACUGUAGAAGUGAUGAUGGGCUAAAUUGCUUCCUGAGUGGCACCCACAAAUAAAUAUUAGAGCUGAUCAAACA